CUACAUUAACUCUUUGUAUUCCAGCCAGGCUGCUCCUCUUAGAUGCAGAGGACUUAGACAUCAGGAAGACUUAGGCACUGGAGGCAGUACUUCAGAGGGCGAUGAGACAGGUGUGAUGGACAGUCUUCUAGAAGCCCUGCAGUCAGGGGCAGCAUUCCGACGGAAGAGAGGGCCCCGUCAAGCCAACAGGAAGGCCGGGUGUGCAGUCACAUCUCUGCUGGCUUCGGAGCUGACCAAGGAUGAUGCCAUGGCCGCUGUUCCUGCCAAGGUGUCCAAGAACAGUGAGACAUUCCCCACAAUCCUUGAGGAAGCCAAGGAGUUGGUUGGCCGUGCAAGCUAAUGUGGGUCCUGUGACCGCGGCAGCUCCUCAGCAGAGCUGCAGACUGUCUUGCCCUGCAGCAUGUGCCUAAAGGCUUCCUCUGGGGUGGCCGCUCCCACCACCCUGACCCUGUCCUCCUCUCUGGCCUGCUGCUCUCUCAACGUCACAUACAGCUUCAGUUGCCUGGAGGCCAGAAGGAAAGGGCAGUGUGGGGGAGGCCUGAGCCCAAGCUAGCCAGCCCUGGCUGUUGUAUUACCAAAGCAGGGUCCAUGUUUGCUGCCUUAACCCU
This 608-nucleotide small RNA is filed under the name Pongo abelii (Sumatran orangutan). Its description in RNAcentral is "processed transcript". Lineage: Eukaryota; Metazoa; Chordata; Mammalia; Primates; Hominidae. The record is from RNAcentral.